UUGAACGCUGGCGGCAUGCCUUACACAUGCAAGUCGAACGGUAGAGGAGCAAUCCUCGAGAGUGGCGAACGGGUGAGUAAUGUAUCGGAACGUGCCCAGUAGUGGGGGAUAGCCCGGCGAAAGCCGGAUUAAUACCGCAUGAUACCUGAGGGUGAAAGCGGGGGAUCGCAAGACCUCGCGCGAUUGGAGCGGCCGAUAUCAGAUUAGCUAGUUGGUGGGGUAAAAGCCCACCAAGGCGACGAUCUGUAGCUGGUCUGAGAGGACGACCAGCCACACUGGAACUGAGACACGGUCCAGACUCCUACGGGAGGCAGCAGUGGGGAAUUUUGGACAAUGGGCGAAAGCCUGAUCCAGCAAUGCCGCGUGCAGGACGAAGGCCUUCGGGUUGUAAACUGCUUUUGUACGGAACGAAACGGUCUCUUCUAAUAAAGGGGGCUAAUGACGGUACCGUAAGAAUAAGCACCGGCUAACUACGU
Molecule: ribosomal RNA, 476 nt
Filed under: uncultured bacterium
Lineage: Bacteria
Description: bacterial SSU rRNA
Rfam family: Bacterial small subunit ribosomal RNA
Source: RNAcentral